RNAcentral lists this long non-coding RNA (2148 nucleotides) under Daucus carota (carrot). Its description in RNAcentral is "long non-coding RNA (DCAR_LNC001080)". The record is from RNAcentral. Lineage: Eukaryota; Viridiplantae; Streptophyta; Magnoliopsida; Apiales; Apiaceae.
GAAGCUUAUAACGUCUAUUUUAAUAUGAUGUGACUAUAUGGCUGAGUCUAUAAGGUGAAUAAUUGUUGAUAAGUAUGCAUAAUGUGAUAAUAUGUGAUCUAAGUGCUAUCAGGUGAUGAUUAUGUGAAGUACGUGUUAGUUUUGAUAUUGUGAAGUGAUAAAUGAUUCGUAUGAUUGAUAUUGGAUAAGAAUAUAUGGAUUAUAGCUAUUGGAUUUUGUUGGUUGAUUAAUGAUUGAGAUAGGAUAAUAGGUGGAUAGUCUUAUACAUAGACGAGACGAUGUCGGAUUUUCGAUAAGGAUUUAUAUGAUAAUUGAUUGGUGAUAUGUUAUGUGGAAUAUGAUUGACUAUAUGUUAGAGUUAAAGCAUGCUUAUGUGUUACGUGGUAUCUGAUAAGUUUAAAGGGAUAUAUAAGUGGGUAUUGAUAUACGUGAGAUGUAUAUGCGAUCGAUUGUUUAGUGAUUAUAGUGUUAUCUUAUUCUCGUAAAGGAUUUGGACGAGACGUGUAUGCCCGAAGACGUUCAGAAAGUCACGUGGUGUUACAAAGCGAAUAAGGGAUGAAUCGAGUAAGCGAAGCGAAGAUGUACGGUAGAUAGAGUAUAGCCAGAGAUGGUCUAGAGACUAUGAGAUGCAUAGAUUGUGAAAGUGGAAAGAUGAGAUUGAGAUGUGAGACUGGAGUCAGAUUUAAGGCAAGUAUCCUAAACCUUUCUCUUGGAUAUAUUGCAAAUAUUCUGAUCCAUUCCUUUGGUAUAUGUUUCAAGUAUUCAUACCUUUCUUUUCAAUGUUCGAAAGUGCGAGUAUUCUGACCCAUUCUUUCUAAUCUUCAAGUUUCUAAAGAAUUUCCGUUUUACAAAUUAAUUCGAAGUUCAGAUUGUCAUUGAAGCAUGUGUUGCUCAGUGAUAGUUAGAGCUUUGAAUGAAUUGGGAUCUUCUUGAUUAUUCAACCCGCCAUUGUCAUGCUGGUUUAGCAGGCUAAAUUCAGUUGCUUAGCCGAUAAUGGAGGAUACUGAAUAGUUGAGGAUUUCCUGAACUGUGAUUUAUGAAAUGAUGGAUCAUGAUUUAUGAAUAGAUUAUUAUCAAAGUUUGAAUUGGAAUUAUUCUGUUGUUGAUGAUAUUUAUGAUGAUGUUCUGUUAAUUUACAUUGGCUUCUUGAAUUGAAUUAGAGAAUUGGAUUAUUGUUUUUAUAUAAACCUGUGGACCAGAUUCGUGGUCAUGUUAGGCCAAUGAGUGCCUUGGAUCCAGUGAUAGAGCAUGGCGGGGCCUGCUCGGGGUUAGUGCGGAACUGAUCAGCUGCCUAACCUUGGUUUUAAUUAAAAUGUGAUAGUCCAAUUCAAUAAUUCUUUGGAAAGAUUGAAUUUCUCAGUUUAAAUGCUGCAAGGUAUUGUAAAUUAUUCUAUACAAUACCAUGAACUCAUGAACUCAGGUUGAAUCCUUUUAUAUCUUGAACUCGUGAACUUCUAUUAUAUCAUUUCAGAACUAUCAUUGUUUAUUAUUACUUGCUGAGCAUUGUUGCUCACCCUUGCUAUUCCUUUCUAACCAUUUCAGAAAGGCUUAAAGAUGAGAUGAUUGAUUGAGAUUGUGAGUAAGGCUAAUGCUAGGCGAGGAGACAGAGUUGAGGAUCCAGUGGUCGAGAAGUGUGCAAAAGGUUGAUGAGGUUGAUGCAAGCUAGAGCUGUGCUAUAGGGAUUCAAGUGUAAGUCAUAGCUGGAAUAGUUGACAGUGAUUCUUCUUAUCGAAGAUGAUCUGAUUUGGUAAGAGAUGUUGUGUAAUAAUAGUGGUAGAUUCUAAUUUCAAUACUGUAACCUGGAAGCGAUCCUGUUGUUUUGGGGGUGAAGAUGUUCUCUUUUAAAUCUUUUAUUUAACGUCUUUCAAAUCUUUUAUUAAAUGUUUUCAAGUUUUAAAUUCUCUGAAUUUCACGUUUUAAAUUCUUUUGGGUUUAAUUAUCUUUAAUAAUAAAAAAAAAAAAAAUAUACAGGAUUUCAAAAGUGUUUAAAAAUGGGUUUUAUGUGGUGACGUCAGAAUCCAGACCCCCGGAUUCCUGGACUGUCACACUGAAGGCUAAGGCGGCCAAAUUUUUUGUCGAAGGAGAAACACUCUUCCGCCGGACCUACUCAUCCCCAAUCCUGAAAUGCAUAGGUCCGGAGGAGGCCGA